CAAAAGCCUGGUCCUAACUUUAUCAUCCGCCUUAACCAAAUUUAUACAUGCAAGUAUCCGCAGCCCUGUGAGAAUGCCCCCAAGAUCCCACCCGGAAACGAGGAGCAGACAUCAGGCACGCCAAUCGCAGCCCAAGACGUCUUGCUCAGCCACACCCCCAAGGGAGCUCAGCAGUAAUAAACUUUAGGCCAUGAGUGAAAACUUGACCUAGUUAUGGUUAUAAGGGCCGGUAAAACUCGUGCCAGCCACCGCGGCCAUACGAGUGUUAGCCCCAGCGGAUGGUCGGCGGCGUAAAGAGUGGUUAGGGGCCCUUACAACUAAAGCUAAAUGUCCUCAAGGCUGUUAUACGCAUCCGACGACAUGAAACCCCGCCACGAAAGUGGCUUUAACCCGACCCGAACCCACGACAACUGGGACACAAACUGGGAUUAGAUACCCCACUAUGCCUAGUCGUAAACACCGAUAGACGACCUACAACUUCUAUUCGCCCGGGAACUACAAGCACCAGCUUUAAACCCAAAGGACUUGGCGGUGCUUUAGACCCACCUAGAGGAGCCUGUCCUAGAACCGAUACCCCCCGUUCAACCUCACCACUUCUUGCCCAGCCCGCCUAUAUACCGCCGUCGUCAGCUUACCCCGUGAGGGGCUAAUAGUAAGCUUAGCUGGUACAACCCAAAACGUCAGGUCGAGGUGUAGCGCACGAAGUGCGGAAGAGAUGGGCUACAUUUUCUGACCCAGAAAACUACGGAAGGAAAAAUGAAAAGUUUCCCAAAGGAGGAUUUAGCAGUAAGCAGGGAACAGAGCGCCCUGCUGAAACUGGCCCUUAAGCGCGCACACACCGCCCGUCACUCUCCCCGAACCCAACCCAGCCAUAUCCUAUGAAACCACAAUACAUAGAGGGGAGGCAAGUCGUAACAUGGUAAGUGUACCGGAAGGAAGCACUUGGAAUAUA
Molecule: non-coding RNA, 952 nt
Filed under: Lampadena atlantica
Lineage: Eukaryota; Metazoa; Chordata; Actinopteri; Myctophiformes; Myctophidae
Description: 12S rRNA
Rfam family: Bacterial small subunit ribosomal RNA
Source: RNAcentral